This 352-nucleotide ribosomal RNA is filed under the name uncultured bacterium. Its description in RNAcentral is "bacterial SSU rRNA". It matches the Rfam family "Bacterial small subunit ribosomal RNA", at positions 162 to 507 of the family's 1533-position model. The record is from RNAcentral.
GCUAAUACCGCAUAUUCUGUGAGCAGGAAAGCAGGGGAUCGCAAGACCUUGCGCUGAUUGAGCGGCCGAUAUCAGAUUAGCUAGUUGGUGAGGUAAAGGCUCACCAAGGCGACGAUCUGUAGCGGGGUCUGAGAGGAUGAUCCGCCACACUGGAACUGAGACACGGUCCAGACUCCUACGGGAGGCAGCAGUGGGGGAAUUUUGGACAAUGGGGGCAACCCUGAUCCAGCCAUGCCGCGUGAGUGAAGAAGGCCUUCGGGUUGUAAAGCUCUUUCGGCCGGGAAGAAAUCGUAUGGGCUAAUACCCUGUGCGGAUGACGGUACCGGCAUAAGAAGCACCGGCUAACUACGUG